GUAGGUUCCCACUCGCCGGCAGCACAUUCCUUCCCUCGUCAGUAUCAUCACUAUGAAACGCGACGAAUUUGCUUCGGUCUUUUCAGGCGAGCGAGUUUCUGAUGCCUGCUAUGUCGAGACGAAGAUAAUAGUAGCGGUAGCAAGAAAGAGCUUCUAGCUAAGAAAUACGCGCAUCACGGAGAAAGGCCAUAGCAACAGAGAAAACAGAAUGAGUCAGGCCGACCGCAUAAGAUUUUUAGUCGGCAUAAGUCGCAGGUGUAUUCAUAUCGUACGAUGAUUAUAAACGCCCGCGCAAUGCCGGAACUCUGUCAAAGAAGAUUAGCUCCUUUUCAACGAGGGCCACAGCAGGAAUCGGUAAUCUUCUACAUUCUGAUUUGACGGGUCAUGGGACGAGCUUAGAAAAAUACCGUAUUUGUCUUUGUGUGGUCUUCACAACCAUCCGUGCUAAUAACCGGUAUACACACAUGUACAU
This 472-nucleotide long non-coding RNA is filed under the name Varroa destructor (honeybee mite). RNAcentral describes it as "uncharacterized LOC111248669, transcript variant X1". Lineage: Eukaryota; Metazoa; Arthropoda; Arachnida; Mesostigmata; Varroidae. The record is from RNAcentral.